UCUCCGUAGGUGAACCUGCGGAGGGAUCAUUACAGAGUUCAUGCCCUACCGGGUAGAUCUCCCACCCUCUGUUAUUAUUACUUUGUUGCUUUGGCGGGCCGUUAGGCUCCGGCCCGACUACCGGCCCCGGCUGGUAAGCGCCCGCCAGAGGACCCAAAACCCUGAAUAUUAGUGUCGUCUGAGUACUAUAUAAUAGUUAAAACUUUCAACAACGGAUCUCUUGGUUCUG
This 229-nucleotide unclassified non-coding RNA is filed under the name plant metagenome. RNAcentral describes it as "partial contains small subunit ribosomal RNA, internal transcribed spacer 1, and 5.8S ribosomal RNA". The record is from RNAcentral.